GACGAACGCUGGCGGCGUGUCUAAUACAUGCAAGUCGAGCGAGCUUGCCUAGAUGAUUUUAGUGCUUGCACUAAAUGAAACUAGAUACAAGCGAGCGGCGGACGGGUGAGUAACACGUGGGUAACCUGCCCAAGAGACUGGGAUAACACCUGGAAACAGAUGCUAAUACCGGAUAACAACACUAGACGCAUGUCUAGAGUUUGAAAGAUGGUUCUGCUAUCACUCUUGGAUGGACCUGCGGUGCAUUAGCUAGUUGGUAGGUAACGGCUUACCAAGGCAAUGAUGCAUAGCCGAGUUGAGAGACUGAUCGGCCACAUUGGGACUGAGACACGGCCCAAACUCCUACGGGAGGCAGCAGUAGGGAAUCCUCCACAAUGGACGAAAGUCUGAUGGAGCAACGCCGCGUGAGUGAAGAAGGGUUUCGGCUCGUAAAGCUCUGUUGGUAGUGAAGAAAGAUAGAGGUAGUAACUGGCCUUUAUUUGACGGUAAUUACUUAGAAAGUCACGGCUAACUACGUGCCAGCAGCCGCGGUAAUACGUAGGUGGCAAGCGUUGUCCGGAUUUAUUGGGCGCAAAGCGAGUGCAGGCGGUUCAAUAAGUCUGAUGUGAAAGCCUUCGGCUCAACCGGAGAAUUGCAUCAGAAACUGUUGAACUUGAGUGCAGAAGAGGAGAGUGGAACUCCAUGUGUAGCGGUGGAAUGCGUAGAUAUAUGGAAGAACACCAGUGGCGAAGGCGGCUCUCUGGUCUGCAACUGACGCUGAGGCUCGAAAGCAUGGGUAGCGAACAGG
RNAcentral lists this ribosomal RNA (787 nucleotides) under uncultured bacterium. Its description in RNAcentral is "bacterial SSU rRNA". It matches the Rfam family "Bacterial small subunit ribosomal RNA", at positions 28 to 776 of the family's 1533-position model. The record is from RNAcentral.